RNAcentral lists this small nucleolar RNA (124 nucleotides) under Otolemur garnettii (small-eared galago). Its description in RNAcentral is "Small nucleolar RNA SNORA9 (ENSOGAG00000023029.1)". Lineage: Eukaryota; Metazoa; Chordata; Mammalia; Primates; Galagidae. The record is from RNAcentral.
GGGCAAGUGAGACUGUCUCCAAAAAUGUGUAGAUUCCUACCAGGGCUUGCCAAAACAGUUUUGAAAUGCUUUGAGGUCUUGCCCUGCUCUAUCUAGAGCAAAGUUAUAGAAAUUUUGGAAAAUA